GGGGCUGACCGGUUUUGACAGCAACAGAAAGGGUAAGUAAGCAUGCCGAGCCAGCGUGAUAAAGCUCGUUAAUCCGUGUCACACAUUUUUUAUUUGGCGAUAAUAACUACGCUCUCGCAGCCUAAUCGAAGUUUAGUAGAUUGGCUCUAUUCCUGGUCUAGGUUACCGGGGACGGGACGGUUCGCUGGUGGAGUCGCCCGAUUCCGGCCAGGUUACGGAUCGCAAGCAAUUUCGGGAUAGUUUCUGCUCCGCUUCGUGGCAGCAAUGAAAUCAAGAAGCUAAGCUUGGGUUUUGGGUGUUUGUUCCCGCGCCCUUGUCGAAAACCAAUAACAAAAUAUGUAUGUAGAAAGCUUAUUGGUUCUUUGUUUGGACGAGGGUUCGAAUCCCUCCAGCUCCACAA
Molecule: transfer-messenger RNA, 400 nt
Filed under: Bacteroidales
Lineage: Bacteria; Pseudomonadati; Bacteroidota; Bacteroidia
Also listed under: 1 other name
Description: B6-G9 sp003650365 Standard tmRNA
Rfam family: transfer-messenger RNA
About the family: Bacterial tmRNA, also known as 10Sa RNA or SsrA, is named for its dual tRNA and mRNA-like properties. Its role is to liberate the mRNA from a stalled ribosome.
Source: RNAcentral